UGUGUGUGUAGAGGAAGAAGGGA
Molecule: microRNA, 23 nt
Filed under: Homo sapiens (human)
Lineage: Eukaryota; Metazoa; Chordata; Mammalia; Primates; Hominidae
Description: hsa-miR-6867-5p
Source: miRBase by way of RNAcentral